This 269-nucleotide ribosomal RNA is filed under the name uncultured Planctomycetales bacterium. RNAcentral describes it as "partial 16S ribosomal RNA". It matches the Rfam family "Bacterial small subunit ribosomal RNA", at positions 565 to 832 of the family's 1533-position model. The record is from RNAcentral. Lineage: Bacteria; Pseudomonadati; Planctomycetota; Planctomycetia; Planctomycetales.
GAGCACGUAGGUGGGUUUGUAAGUCAGAUGUGAAAGCCUCCUGUUCAACGGAAGAAUUGCAUCUGAAACUGCGAGUCCUGAGUGUAGGAGGGGAGAAUGGAACUUCUGGUGGAGCGGUGAAAUGCGUAGAUAUCAGAAGGAACUCCGGCGGCGAAAGCGAUUCUCUGGCCUAUUACUGACACUCAGUGUGCGAAAGCUAGGGGAGCAAACGGGAUUAGAUACCCCGGUAGUCCUAGCCGUAAACGAUGGGCACUAAGUAGAGGGGUUUU